This 2206-nucleotide long non-coding RNA is filed under the name Pelobates cultripes (western spadefoot toad). The record is from RNAcentral. Lineage: Eukaryota; Metazoa; Chordata; Amphibia; Anura; Pelobatidae.
UAUCGAUCAAUAAAAAAAGGGCUUCAAAAAUCGUAUAAAAGCAACACAUAUAGUCAGAGCUGACAGAUCCAUAGCUGACAGCAUUCCUGCUCGUAUAAGCCAACUGGACAAGAAAUCAAACAUGUCUGGAGUCAAAGGUGGAGGUGGAGGUGGUGGAUGUGGUGGUGGUGGUAGUGGUGGUGGAGGAGGACAGCAAACAGGUCAAUACAAAGAUAUUGAUGGUAAGUUGUAGCUAAUGUCUUAAUUGAAUUAUUUCAAAGUAAAGUUUGUUGUAUUUGAUUUUAAACACUAUCGUGUUCAUUAUGCAAUGUUCAAGGUGCAAUGUUUCAUUGAAUUAAGAGAAAUACUGAAUGUAACCCCGUAAUUUUUCAUGGUUUGUAUCAAGGCUUGCAAUGCUCCACAAAUCUGAAUACGAGCAUCUCAGGAGUACAUGUGUGCAAAUUUGCUGUCUUAUGUCUGGAAAAUAAUGCUAAAAAGACUAGUGGUCCUUCUUUGGUGUAUAUAGCAUGCUAACUAUGUAAAGUAACUGCAUUGGUUGGGGUCAAAUAAUGUAACACUUGAAAAAAUCUAAUAAGUUGGUAUUUUGCUUUCCAGUUUAAAAGGUAUUACAUUUUACAAUUUAAUUUUGAAGAAUUAUGAUUAAAAUAUUAAUAAACUAAAAUAUGCAUUUUAUUAAAUUGCUUGAUUGCAAAUAUAUAUUCUUCAGUGAAAACGUUUUGUACAGACAACAUUGAAAAUGUGACUGUUUAUUAUUUGUUUAAAAAAAUAAAAUGUAUAUGCAAAGUAGGUGAAAACACAAGAUUUUAUAAGAUUUUAUAAAAAAAUAAUAUAUGUUGGUCUGUUGCAAUAAUCAUACACAAUCAAAUGAAAACAAAAAAUACAUUUACGUCUAUAAAAACAAUAUAACGUGUAGAAUUUGCAGAGUUCUGUGCUGCAUUCAGUCAUUGUUUUUCUUUUUUUUUGUGUGACAGUUAAUCAAUGCUCCCAGCCGUGCAUAGACCCGAUACCUGGCAACAAAGGCAACGGUAUGCAAAAACAUUAAUGUUUUAUUAUGAUGUAACAGCUGUACUGUAAUUGAAAAAAAAUGAAUAUAAAGGUAAAAUUCGAGCUGGUUUAGCUAUCAUCGUUUAUAAUAUGUCAAUGGUGUAAACUGUGACAACUAUCUCUGCAAACUUUACAACAAUAGGAUGCAACAGGAGAAUCUAGCUAACACUUUAGCUGCACAGAAAGUCCUGUUAUAAUAAGGUUGUUCUCAAUAAAAAAAAUGUCAUCAAUGGUUAAUAUCUCAUUUUCAACAUGCACAGUAGCAUACACAGCUCAAUCUGUACAGAGCUGUUGAUGAGCAACCAGUGGUAACAGAUUUACCGAGGGCUAUGCACACUUAUCAAGACAUAUUUGUACUGUAUCCAGUAAUAUUCCUUGAAAAAAACUGACGUAAGAUUUGCCAGGCAACUGUACUUACUGUAUGUGGACAUUCAUAAACUAUCAGCAAUUAAUAACUGUGCCAUCCUGACUGUGAUUUAAUUAGUCAUUACUGAUGAGGACUGAACAGACAUAACAAAACAGUAUUGGUUAAAUAUCGAUGUGUUUGCUUAAUCCUGAUAUAUCAAGCCAGAGGCUUUAAACAUUGAAGGCAUUAUUUAUUGUAGCUGUUGAUUGUUACUGUAUACUUUGUCAGUAUAGUUAUAAUAUGAUAUAUUCCUUGCAUUCAUUGACUUUAUCUACUAGAUUUAAAAAAAAAAUUAAGGACAGCUUGCUAUAUAUUUUCAGGUAAAACUAUCUGUUGCACGAAACUUUGAGAAAGUAUUUUUUCAAGUGAAUGCAACUUCUAAUAGAUCAAUCUGUACAACCUUUACCAAACAGAAGUAAGAAAUCAAAUAAUCAAAUAAGUAAGAAACCAAAAUGUACUUUUUUUGUUUUAGAUGGGUCUGGUCAUUGUGCACAAACUCAGGGCAGCGGAAGUUAUGGAGUCAGUGGAGGUUACUGCGGUCAAGGUGGUCAGAUUCAAGGUGGAGGAGGCACGAAGAAGUGAAGAUCCAAAAUGAAAAUAAAUAAACCAAGCAAGCAUUUGGACAUACACUACAUUGCUAAUUAUUUUCUGUAACGCUGUUCUAAUUGUAUUCUGAUUGCUACUUACUGCAAAAUACAAGUAACUGAUCAGAUUUAAAAUAAAUUAAUUAAUUUAAGCAUAAACGUUCAGUCUCGG